RNAcentral lists this long non-coding RNA (206 nucleotides) under Nicotiana benthamiana. Its description in RNAcentral is "long non-coding RNA (NBEN_LNC000214)". The record is from RNAcentral. Lineage: Eukaryota; Viridiplantae; Streptophyta; Magnoliopsida; Solanales; Solanaceae.
UUUGCUUCUUCGUCGUAUCUUAUUAUGUAUAUUCAAAGGAUUUACAAUCCUUUAUUUAAAGGCAUCCCUUGAAGUACUUGUAGAGCAGAUAUCUUAAAACUUCAUGGAAAAUAUCAAACAUACAUACGUUAUUUGUUUAGUCACUUCCUUCUAGAGUAUGUCUAACUUCUGAUAUUGGUCAUGCUGUUAAUGGAAAUGAUUAUUUG